GACGAACCGUGCGGACGUUAUUCGGAAUCACUGGGCUUAAAGCGCGUGUAGGCGGAUGGGAACGUCGGUAGUUGAAAGCCCCCGGCUCAACCGGGGAAGUGGUGCCGAAACGACCCGUCUGGAGGGACGUAGGGGGACCUGGAACUUCCGGUGGAGCGGUGAAAUGCGUUGAGAUCGGAAGGAACGCCCGUGGCGAAAGCGAGGUCCUGGACGUCUACUGACGCUGAGACGCGAAAGCUAGGGGAGCAAACGGG
RNAcentral lists this ribosomal RNA (254 nucleotides) under uncultured bacterium. RNAcentral's name for it is "partial 16S ribosomal RNA". It matches the Rfam family "Bacterial small subunit ribosomal RNA", at positions 524 to 776 of the family's 1533-position model. The record is from RNAcentral.